RNAcentral lists this long non-coding RNA (351 nucleotides) under Equus caballus (horse). RNAcentral describes it as "lncRNA (ENSECAG00000045420.1)". Lineage: Eukaryota; Metazoa; Chordata; Mammalia; Perissodactyla; Equidae. The record is from RNAcentral.
UCUAGAUCACGUGGCCCUGCCAUUCCAGCCACAGCCAGGAGUGCAAAUCUAAGAAGAAGAUGAAGGCAAGAAAAGGCAGGUUCUUCUAGUCAUGAUCAAUGGAAAUAAUGAGCCAGCACCAUAUCAUGGGCACACGCAAGCAGCUUGUGGAGAGGUCCCCGCAGUAAGGAACUGAGGUCUCCUACCAAUAACAGGCACUGACUCCCCAGCCAUGUGAUGGAGCCACCUUGGAAAUGGAUCCUGCAGCCCAGUCAAGCCUUUGGACGAAUGCAGCUCCAACUGACAUCUUGACCAUAACCUUAUGAGAGAUCCUGAGCCAGACCCACCAGAUAAGCCACUCUCAAAUUCCUA